Molecule: small nucleolar RNA, 97 nt
Filed under: Leersia perrieri
Lineage: Eukaryota; Viridiplantae; Streptophyta; Magnoliopsida; Poales; Poaceae
Description: snoRNA snoR11
Rfam family: Small nucleolar RNA R11/Z151
About the family: snoR11/Z151 is a member of the C/D class of snoRNA which contain the C (UGAUGA) and D (CUGA) box motifs. Most of the members of the box C/D family function in directing site-specific 2'-O-methylation of substrate RNAs.
Source: Rfam by way of RNAcentral
GAGCUUGUGAUGAUUCAGGUCCGAAAGGAUCUUAGCGGAUUUCUGUGAGGCAAUUGUGUUAGAGUUAAUCGCUUAAUGCUGUGACACACUGAAGCUU